Small nucleolar RNA from Lycium ferocissimum, 105 nucleotides. NCBI's taxonomy places the organism in Eukaryota, Viridiplantae, Streptophyta, Magnoliopsida, Solanales, Solanaceae. The record is from RefSeq and is a predicted model, not a curated record.
AUGAUUGCGAGGACAAUCUCUAAGAAGACCUUUAAACCUCUCCCAUGCCUAAUACAGAUUCUCUCCAUUUUUCUGCCUGAAUGAUAUGAUCUCCUUCCGGAGCCU